Molecule: long non-coding RNA, 355 nt
Organism: Xenia sp. Carnegie-2017
Lineage: Eukaryota; Metazoa; Cnidaria; Anthozoa; Malacalcyonacea; Xeniidae
Exons: 2
Source: RefSeq, a predicted model, not a curated record
GAAAAGACUCUGGUGAAAAGAUUCAGGUGAAAAGAUUCAGGUGAAAAGACUCAUGGUGAAAGACUCAGGUGAAAAGACUCAGGUGAAAAGACUCAGGUGAAAAGGCUCAGGUGAAAAGGCUCAGGUGAAAAGACAAAAGUACAAAAGUAUCAUGAGAGAGCUGAUGGGCAUAUAUCAUAUAUGAAUGAGAACAGUAUUGUAUACAAAGCACUGUUUACCUUCUUUAUUUUUUUGGUUUUCAGAAUUGGACACCUCAAAUAGUAGUAGAUUUUAGUACACAUUUGAUGCAUUGAUGUAUUGUGUAAUAAUGCAAAAAACAAUCAUUAAACAGUAUAACCAUUUUUGGCUAAAUACA